This 333-nucleotide long non-coding RNA is filed under the name Gossypium barbadense (sea-island cotton). RNAcentral describes it as "long non-coding RNA (GBAR_LNC008531)". The record is from RNAcentral. Lineage: Eukaryota; Viridiplantae; Streptophyta; Magnoliopsida; Malvales; Malvaceae.
CCAUCACGGGUGAUGAAACCAAGGUUUGAAUUGUAGUAGUCAAGUAUUUGAAAUGUAGGAACCAAGUGUUUCUAUUUUCUUCACCCUGUAGGUAUAACAAUAUUGUUCUUUUAUUCUUUUAUUCUGCAGUUUAAGCUUUGCAAGGUUAGGUCUGUCCAGUUUGGCCAGAAAGGCAUUCCAUACCUCAAUACAUAUGAUGGGCGUACUAUCCGCUACCCAGACCCUCUGAUCAAGGCUAAUGACACCAUCAAGCUGGACCUUGAGAGCAACAAAAUUGUUAAUUUCAUCAAGUUUGAUGUCGGAAAUGUUGUCAUGGUGACUGGAGGAAGGAAC